AAUUACCAUUGUAUCCCCGUCCCUUCAAAUUCUCCAAACUUAAUCCCAUCAGUUUCAUCGAUCCUUCGCCAUCAUUUCUCCUUCGAAGCCUUGCGUUACUCAUUUCUUUCUGUUUCUCUGUUUGUCAUCUAUGGCUUCGGUCUUGUGAUUUGCCACCUCAUUCUUUAACUGCCCAUCUACUCUGUCUUGAGACUCUGGGAUCGUGGGACUUUGAAUUUCGGCUGUUCCAGCGAUUGGUUUCGGCGUUCCUGCAGGAUCUCGGACUUCCCUAUUCCCUGACCAGGUUUUGGAUUUUAGUUCUCUGUUAAUCAUCUGAACUUGGGGCACGGAUUAUGUUCCUGUAAAGUUUUCUGAACAACUUAAAGGUUUCAUGGAGUCUGAUAGUUUAUGAAAAAGUUGGAUUUUUCUUCAUUAUGGAGAACCUUCCUGUUGAAGUCAUUGGCAACAUACUAUCACGGCUAGGAGCUGCACGAGAUGUAGUAAUUGCCUCUGCAACUUGUCGCAAGUGGAGAGAAGCCUGCCGGAAUCACCUCCAUGCACUUUCAUUCAACUCCAAUGACUGGCCUGUAUACCGUGAUCUCACGACUAGGCGACUGGAGAUCCUUAUAACCCAAACAAUAUUCCAGACGACUGGUUUGCAGUGCUUAUCUAUUUUUAUGGAUGAUGUGGAUGAGUUCUCAGCUGCUCCAGUGAUUGCCUGGCUUAUGUAUACUAGGGAAACCUUGCGCCAUCUACUAUAUAAUGUUCGCACUACCCCAAACGUUAACAUUCUUGAAAAAUGUGGUAGGCAGAAGCUGGAAGUAUUGGUCUUGGCUCAUAAUUCUAUCACAGGGGUUGAACCAAGUUACCAGAGAUUCCCUUGCCUAAAAUCCCUUUCUCUGAGUUAUGUCAGUAUCUCAGCUUUGGAUCUGAGUCUUCUGCUCACUGCCUGCCCAAUGAUUGAGGUGUUGGUUCUUAUUAGUCCAGAAAUUGCCAUGUCAGAUGCACAGACAACAAUGGAACUGAGCAGCCCAACAUUGAAGAACAUUUAUAUUGAAGCAAUCAGCUUGGACAAGUUUAUAUUAGAAGCAGAUUGUCUUGAUACUUUGCAUUUAAAAGAUUGCAUCCUUGAACUUUUUGAGCUUAUUGGCAAGGGGACUUUGAAACAGCUAAAGAUUGAUGAUGUUAGUGUCAUUCAUCUUGAUAUUGGUGAGAAUACUGAGAACCUUGAAGUGGUGGAUGUCAGCAACUUCACAAUCAUGUGGCCAAAGUUUUACCUAAUGGUCUCAAGAUCAUCAAAGUUGAGAAAGCUUCGGCUUUGGGGUGUGGUUUUUGAUGAUGAUGAUGAGAUUAUGGAUUUAGAAACAAUUGCUCUUUGCUUUCCUCAACUUAGCCAUCUUUGUUUAAGUUAUGAUUUAAGAGAUGGAGUGCUUCACUAUCGCUUGCCGGGAUCAUCUCAAUUGGAGAAUGUUGUUGUAUUGGAGCUUGGUUGGACUGUUAUUAAUGAUCUCUUCUCUCACUGGGUUGCAGGACUGCUUGAAAGAUGCCCUAAUCUAAAAAAGUUGGUCAUCCAUGGGGUUGUUUCAGAGGUCAAAACCCAUGAAGAAUGCAAUAUGUUGGCUAACUUUACAUCUUCCAUUGUUCGGCUUAUGAGGAAAUAUGUUAAUGUAGAGGUGAAAUUUGAAUAUGAAUAAUUAAAGUGCCUUUGUUGGCAUUCAAGUUUUGGUUUAGCACGUGUUGUACAAGCUGUAGACCCUACUUUGUGUAGUGUGAGCAUCCUUUUCUGUCCUAUAUCUGAAUUCAGUAACUUCCACUUUAUCAGGAGCUUACUGGACUUCAGAAAGUCCUUGAAAUCAAUCGUGAGUUUACAAGAGAGUCCAAACAAAGGGAGGAAAUAAUUCCACAUUCAUUAUGUAGGAGAAAGAGAGGAGGUGAUUAACACUAUUCACUCUUCGAGCAUAGGAUGCACGGUGUCCACAUGAGAGGAGAGGCACCAAGUUUUCUAUCUCCACUGGAGCAUCUCAUCAGUGUUGAUCAUCUUGAUAUCUUUAAAAUGGAUACCCAUCAAAAUGUUUUGAUUUUUGAAUGAGUAGAACCAUCCCAAAGAGUCUCAAGUCUUGACUGGGAAAGGAAGGUAGAUGAGGAAUCAGCAAGGUUAUUGAAAGAGGAACAGUAAAAUAUGCCUUAAGGUUCCAAAAUCCAAUUUCUAGUGCCAAGUCCAAUAUGGAGAAGAAAUAUUCCAUUCAGAGAGUUCAUAUGAGAUGUAACCUCUUCAUUUUCAUGAUCUUUAAGACUCCUUUUGAACCCAAAAUUUCAUGUCAAACCAGAAGGCAAGUUACAGACUAACUCAGAAAUGGGUUAAUGUUUGUACAAAGAAAUACUGUGGUGCCUAUAAAGAGUUGGAAAUAAAGCACAGUCUUGUUAUUACUGGGUACACAAUAGCACUCUAUAUCCAUGUGCCCAAACAGGGAAUCCAUCCGUUAGCAACGCCAUGGAGUAUACAUUGGCAUCAAAUAGUAGCAAGUCAUUAUCCACCUGUGACUACACAGGACUUGUGCCAGGGAAUGAAGCUCCAUCAUUUGGCGUGCCCCACCUAGAAGAUCUCUCAGUCUGAAAUUUAUGCAAUUGAAUCAUUUCAUGGCGAGUCAAAAGAAAGUGACUUAGUCCAGUGGUAUGGUUUCCGACAUCAUUGGGUUGGGUGCCAUGAGGUUGGGUCUUAUCUUUGAGAUUCUUGCGCUGGAUGGCUCAAUCAAAUGGUAGGUCCUGACUCUGUACUAGAGAAAUGCAGGAUCUCUGGAGCCUUUCAAGUUUCAACAUCUUCCCAUUUGUCGUCUUAUUCUCUGUGUACAAAGCAGUCAGUCCUCUGGUAAUGUUGGGAAUUGUUAUGGGGUUCUUCUCAAAGAAACGGGAGAGGAGCCAUGGUAGAAUUACAGAGAAGCUACAUAAAUAAAACUUUCUGACAUGGAUGGUUUGUAUAGGUUCUUGCUAAGAAUCUUAAUAAACUAAUCUAUCACCAAACUCGUAUAUAAGAAUCAAAUUUCAGAACUCUGCACCAUACAUACAAUUCUUUGACUUUCUAAA
Nelumbo nucifera (sacred lotus) is the source of this 3060-nucleotide RNA transcript. It is a transcript of the gene named F-box/LRR-repeat protein At1g67190-like, with no coding region annotated. The record is from RefSeq and is a predicted model, not a curated record. Lineage: Eukaryota; Viridiplantae; Streptophyta; Magnoliopsida; Proteales; Nelumbonaceae.